Molecule: ribosomal RNA, 253 nt
Filed under: uncultured bacterium
Lineage: Bacteria
Description: partial 16S ribosomal RNA
Rfam family: Bacterial small subunit ribosomal RNA
Source: RNAcentral
UACGUAGGGUGCGAGCGUUGCCCGGAUUUAUUGGGCGUAAAGGGCGCGUAGGCGGCUCGACACGUUCGUUGUGAAAUCGCCCGGCUCAACUGGGCGGGGUCAGCGAAUACGGUCGAGCUUGAGCAAGCUAGGGGGCAAUGGAAUUCCCGGUGUAGUGGUGGAAUGCGUAGAUAUCGGGAAGAACACCCGUGGCGAAGGCGGCUCUCUGGAACGCAACUGACGCUGAGACGCGAAAGCGUGGGGAGCAAACAGG